Non-coding RNA from Equus caballus (horse), 10174 nucleotides. The record is from RefSeq and is a predicted model, not a curated record. NCBI's taxonomy places the organism in Eukaryota, Metazoa, Chordata, Mammalia, Perissodactyla, Equidae.
CCCCCUGUGUUUUUAGGGAGCCCUGUGCUCUUCCACCUAAAAAUCUGUAGCAAUGAUUCCUGUCACAGAACUGAGGCAGGAUGGGCUCAAGCCAGGUCAGAAACGCCUCCUCUCCUGUUGGCAGCCGCCUCCCUCUUUCUUUGACACAGAACUUCGGAGCUGGAAAGAACCUUGGAGAUUAACUCCUCUGGUGGACUCCUGUAGCAGCCCAGGAGAAUAAGGCACAGGAAGACUUUCUUUCUCAACGUUGCCUGAACAUGAUUGCCACAACCUCAAUGACCUUGCCUGCCUUGUCUCCUAUCGUCACCCCAGCACCUGGCAUGGUGUUUGGCACACACCCUCAGUGUGACAGCAUUGCCUCCCCUCAUUGUGACAAGGUUGCUGCAGUAGCUCAGUACAUCACGUCCUUAAACAAAAACAUCCAAAGAAAGGUAGGAAGGGAUGUGGGCUUCCUCUUCAGCAUCUCUUUCUAUUUAUUAGAGAGAAAAAUCUUUCCAGAAGCCACUAGCAGACUUCCAGUUAUGUCUCCUUGCUCAGAACUGGGUCACAUGACCACCACAUUGGCUAAAUCCAUCGUUUGCAAAGAGAAUAUGAAUCAGGCUGGUCAUGGCUCAUCUCAUGGGCCUGAGGGAAGGCUCCAACUUCCCCAGACAAAUUUCCUUGAUAUCUGAACAAAAUCAGGGUUCAGUUAACAGGGAAGAAGCAGAAAAGUGCUACCAACAAUUCUUCCAAUCCAAGAAAUCCUUUAAAAUAUGAUAAAGUAUGCUUCAGUGCUUAGGCUCCACACCAGCCAUGGCAGUUGAGUUUCACUAUAUCAGUUCUCUAUUUCUAUGCACCUUUUUUUUUUUUAAAUGAAAAAAGCUUGCUUGGCUUUCAGCAAAAUUAAAACUAUUUCAACAACCCACAAAUAAGGGAAAUAGCUGGCCACAGUCAGUUUUUUUCCUACACAUUUAGAUCCUAGGUCUUUAUAUCACCACUGAUUUUCUACAUAUCCAAGGAAUAGCACACAAUCUAUCAGCCUCUUGUCUUCUCCUGUGUCUGAUGGGAUCAACGAUGCUGUUGAUUUCUUAGAAACAUCAAGUGCAACACUGCAACUAACCAUGAAAAGAUUGCAAAACAGUCUAGAAGGGUUUAAGACUCAAGUUUACCUGCUGCUUUUCUUGUCUAUUGUAUUUCAGUGAAUUCCUAUCCCACAUGUUUGCAUCUGUCGCUGCCUGAGAGCGCCAGCUGCCUGGGAUGUGUAAACCAGAAAUAUAUGGCUGAUACAACUUUGCCUUGCGGUGGGCUUCAGGAACUUCUCCAUUGUCACAGAUCAAGAGAAUUAGGGUGAAGGAUGAAGUGAGCUGGAUUUUAUACUCCACAAGGAAAGAACAACAUCUGAGAGAUGUGUGACCUUGGGCCUGUGAUGUCACCGAGGAUCUCUGAGCUUCCUGCUUCCUUGGCUGUAAAGGGAAGAUCGUGACUACCACCUUGCCAGGGUGCUACAGGGAUCGGCGACAUGAGUGGGGCUGGCACUGAGAGCUAAGUAUAUGUUCCUAUCAUUGCUUUUUUUUCAUCAGAGAAAUUCUGAACCCCCUACCAAGAAGUAGCUAUUUAACCACCACUGACUUGGUGAGAUCCAAAUUUACAAAUGUGCUGGCUGAAGUCCAGAAACAUCUAGGCCCAAUCAGAUAACUAUGGGAUCUGAAUUAUCUUUGAGGCAUGACUUGGCAGUUAGAUUACGCCUAAGUAAUAAUUAUUAAACUUUAUAUGUGUCAACCAGAUUUGUCACAGAUUGGGGGUGAAAUGAGAGCAUAAACUUAUGCAAAAAUUAAAGCCACACGGUCACAUCAUCUUGUCAGAAAAGAAAAGCAACAGAAUACAAGAUGCCACUGCCAUUUACAUGAAGGAACUAAGGCCUGGACUGCCCUCCCAGCAAAAAUCUGCUCUAACAUAAGCCAAUAAGAUGACAAAUGGGAAUCUGAAAUGACUUUGAAAUAAAAUCCAAGAUGUAUCCGUGAAGGCGGGAGGCAAAGAUGUUCUGGAACUGCUGUCUCUCCCAAGGGCUCUGCAAAACCCCUGAGGCCUCAGCUUGUAAUUCUGCAAUAGGGUCUCACAUCUCCAAACCUUUCCUUACCGUAAGUUGACAAAUAUAGCCCUGCAGCCUGCUGUCUGAGAAGAGUUGGUGCUCCCUAGAUUUUUCAUGAGCUCUUGUCUUAGUUUGGGUUCCCCCGAAAGCAGAGUCUGACAGAAGCACUUGGUACAGGUGGUUCACUAAGGAGAGGUCACCUGAGGCGGGAGUGAGGGAAGGGGGAGUGUGAUGUCAAGAAGGAUAGUGUGAUGUCAAGGUGACGAGGUACAGAAGGCCUCCUACAGCUAUUUACCUAAAGGUGAUAGAAUUUACCCACUAGCUUCCAUUCCCCAGUGGUUGGGAGUUGCUGUAAAGGACAUUAACUCUCCUGCACUUUUGGGGUAUUCUUACCUAUGGGCUGAGCAGAGGCCCAAGGUGUUAGAGAAGGCCCUUGGGCAGAAUGCUGAGGGACUGGAUCUCACAUGAGAGGAGGGAUGCUGUCAGUGAGAACAGCGUCUGGCCUCACGUAAGAUGACAGUCCACUUAGCCAUGGCUGAGAUCAGAGGUGGCCAAAGGGAUGUGAUGUGAGCCACCAAAUGUGUUUGUUUCAGUGCUCCUAGAUUGCCCAGCCACUCUUGCAGCUAGGUUGUGGUCACAUGAUCCUUGAGUCCGCAUGGAGGACAUCUGACAAACCCAGAACCAUACCCUUUCUACUCAUGUCCACUUCACCAGGGAGACAACAACCUCCAGGCAAGUGAGGGACGGACACAGGAGGGAGUUGUUCCUCUGAGUCAGGCAACAGCUUCAAUACGGAAACUGUGAGAAUUAGGUCUUUUUUGUGUUCUUUUCCCUCUGAGGAGCUAGAUCUAACAACAGGCAGUUGACGUGUGUCCAGAGAACCUCUCAGCUUCUUGUAAAUAUACACAUAUGCUUGUAUUUCUUUAAAAAGUUCUGGGUUUGAAGUUCAUUGGUUUGGCUUAAAUCACAUGUCCAUCUGUGAACCAAUUACUGUGGCCAGAGUGUGGAAAACUCGGAUUGGCCAGCCUUGGAUCAUGUGACAGAUAUAUCAGCCUCAUGUAUACUCCCUGAGGGCAAAGACCACUGGUAAGUCAGGGUGAAAUUACUUUAAGAAAGGAAUAAAUAAAUGCUGGAUAGCAAAAGUAACAGAUAUAUACAACAUACUCUUCUUUUUAAAAACUCUUUAUUGAGGUAUGACUUAAAGACAGUGAAGUGUACCAAUCUUAAGUGUACAGCUUGAUAAUUUUUUAUAUACACAGUUGGGUAAUCACCACCCAAAUCAAUAUUUAAAUAUUUUCAGAACCCUCAAAGUCUCCCUUGUGCCUCUUCCCAGUCAUAACUCCCCAAAGAUAACCACUACUCUGAUCUCUAACACCAUAGAUAAUUUGCCUGUGCUUGAACUUCGUAUAAAUGGAAUCAUAUAGUAUAUGCUCUUUUGUGUUUGGCUUCUUUCACUCAACAUUAUGUUGUAAGAUUCAUCCAUGUUGUUGUGUGUAGCAGUAGUUUAUUCUUUUUCAUUGCUGUGUAACAUUCCAUUGUAUAAACUCUUAUCCAAUCUAUUGACAGUUGAAUUAUUUCCAAUUUUUAGCUAUUAUGCAUAAAACUGUUAUGAACAUGCUUGUACAGGUCUUUUGGUGGACAUAAGUACUCCUUUUUCUCAGGUGUAUACUCAAGAAUGGAAAUGCUGGGUCAAAGGAUUUAUAAAUACUUAGCUUUAAUAGGUAUUGCCAAACAGUUUUCACUCCCACCAGCAGUGUAUGAGAGUUUCAGUUGCUACAGAGUCUUGCAGCUGUGUAGUCCUUGUCAGUCCGUCUAAUCAUCUACUCUUCUUGAUUUCUCAAUACCCUUCUACAAAGAGAUACAGAUAUUUGUCAGUAGACUGCAAAAGUCCCAGCCAUGGAAAAGGCUCUGUACACCAACGGUAAAGGCUGAACUUAAAUGCCUGGUCCUGACCCUAAGGGCAACAGGAACUCAGAAAUGGGAGAGAUCAGCAUGGGCAUGGGGAGAUAUGAACCUUUGGAGAGGUUGAAAUGAGCAGGGCUUUGACCCGUUGGUGAGAUUUGAAUAAAGGAAGGAGAAUAAUGCAGUCAUCCUGUCAGAGUGCACAGCUUGAGCAAAGGCAGAAGGGUGGGAAAGAGUUUGGAGUAGAAAUCAGGGAGAAAGCUGACCUCACUUGAGCAGAGAGUACCUCUUGAGAGGAGCAGGGCGUGUGGUUGGAUUGGUAAGGACGGGCCAGGCUUGGGCAGGGGGGCUUUGAUGUCAGGAGGUGGGCUUGGGAUCUGGGUGGCUGGAGUAGGGGAGGUGGCUGAGAGUCAGCAGGUCCCUCAUUCAGUCUCAGUUUCCUCCUGUUUCUCACAGUAACGAGCAUCUUACCAUGAUGAGUGUGAUAAUCAUUUUUCUUUCAACAGGGCCCCUGAAUGCGAGCCAACUGCUUCAUUUGGUUCUCAGCUGAAGAAAUAGAUCUGUUCCUAUGCCGGAGAGAAAACCAGAUGUCCUGGAUUGAGAAAUGGUAUCUCUACAUGUACUUCAGAGGCGUUAUAAGGGAUCCUCAAGGGGUUAGUUUUGACUUUGUGUGAUUUAUACCUUCUGGGCUGACUUCGCUACAUUAGAAGUCUUAUGGCAGGUGUAUCUGUAUAAAGUGAUGAACACAAGCCUGGGCUGCAGGCCCUGAGAAUGGAAAGGAAUAGCUCCACUUCCCCUGUUCUUCUAGAACUCCCCAUGCCUGAGCCCAUUUAUCUCUCCACCUGCAGAUUCAGCCCUUCAACGACCAGUCGAUUCAUUUGUUCAUUCAUUACUUAUUCAUUCAGCAAACUUUCACUGGAUGCCUAGUGAAGGCCAAGUACUGGAAUUGAAGACAGAAACAGAGUUUCUGCCUUCAAGGAGCUCACAGACAAGCAAGAAACACUGACACGGGACAAUUGAAUGCAAAUAAGGUGUUGGAAUUCAGCAUUUAAAGCCUCCUCCUGUCUGAGGAAAGCAGAAGAGGAGCUCAAGAGUAUAUCGUGAAUCUUACUACAUCUGGAAUAAAGAUCAGGCCAGCUGAUGCUUAAAUUAAAAGCACAGCUUGCCUUUCCUCCCUCCUCUCACCUCACGAAUAAAGUCGAGCAACAGGCAUUGAACUGGUGAAGGACACAUUCAUCAGAAAUCUAUGUAGGCAUAUUUCUUUUACUUACCAAAGCUCCAAUUAAUCCUAAUUAAGGCUCACUCAUCUGCACCCCAUUGCCCCAACCCCACCUAGAGAGGAAAACCCAACCUGCUCCCCACCUGUAACCCAGAAAAAGAGAAACUGUUUUAUGAGAGUCCAUGGACCCAGAGCCCUUUUACAGAGAAGUCAUCUGCAUUUGGUUCCCUAUAACACUGCGCCGGGCCACGGGGUAGGAAAACCGGUUGACAUCUGGAGGAGAUGUUGGGAGUGUAGCCAUCUCAGCUGGAAAGAUGGGAUUCUGGCCCAUUUUCCUUCCUACUGGAGGAUUGUCUUUCCUUGGUCGCUUAAAGGAUUCCUGGCUCCUACUGUACUUUGUUCUUUGCUUUCAUUUUUUCCACGAAUAUUUACUGAGCAGUUAAUGUAUGUCAUGCAAAAAUGUCUUGUAUGAAUCUUUUCUUGUGUGAUGUAGUGGAAAGAGCAUGCAUUCUGAAGUCAGAAGACCUCGGUCUAGAGUCCGGGAGAUUGUGCUUGCCUGGAGCAAAUAAUUUUACUUCCCAAAACUUUGGUAUCUGCUUUGGCAACCUAAAGGCCGCUCUGAGGAUCAAAUAUAAUAAUGAGUGUGAAAUUUCUGUAAAUUGUAAAGUGCUUCAAAAUGAUAGUUCGUUUUUGAAAGUAUUGCAUUUGUUCUAAGAUGAAUUUCCUCAUGGUCACUCACAACCUCCAGCCAGGGGAAAUCAAAGGAGGUUAAGUCUCACUUGCACACACUUCAUCAAGGGCCCACUGAGCAGCCCUAACAAUGUGUUCCGGUGGUCAUAUGUUUUUAUAAAGCUUGGAAAAUAAGAAUAUUUUAUCAGCAAUUGGUUAAAACCACUAUGUUUUUCCUCUGCAGCUUCCUCACCGUGACUGUUUUUCUGUUGAACAGCGAUGAGUGGUGGUAGGCAUUUUCGAUAUCUGGCUAAAGAGAAGUUGAGUUGGGGAACAUGAAGUUUGGAUUGAGCGGCAUAUAUUUCUGCAGUUUGCAGAAUUUCCAUGUUUAGUUAGGUUAUUAUUAGGCCUCCUGGUGUAGGAACGGCUUCCAGGAAUGCUCCUUUCCCUACCAUGUCAAUUCAUCUGGUGCCAUCUCAUAAAAGUGCAGGGCCAAGGGCAAAGCUGUGAUAGGACCAUGUGAUAGGACCAUGCACAGUAGCAGGACCAGAAAUAGAUGUAAGUAAUGGAAGAGAAACAGGAUUUCAAAUGUAGGGAGGCAAAAGCUAGUCUUCAGAAAGUUCUUCUAAUCAUCAGAUGUGUUCCAUUGUAAGUGGAAGAUGCAGUUCUCAUUGACACCUAGCUAAAAUAGAAGUUUGCUACUAUCAAAAAUAUACUUGAUAGUACAGUGUACACAAUUAUUAAUACAUCAUAUAUUUUUCUAUUUUUUAUGGGAAUCUUGCAAGAUAAAAUUAAUCACAAUACCUGGGUUUAUAGGGCAUAGACCGUAGCAGUAUUACCUAUGGCACGAACAUCUGUGUGUGAAAUUCCAUGUUUAUGUAUCAUAUCAGAUCAGAUCACCUCUUAGCAUAUCUGAUGCUUCUCGUCCUGACAAGGUCUGUUGGUUGAUGAAAAGGAACACAACAUUGCCACAGACAUAGCAAAAUGGCCUGAAGAAGCAAGGGUUCCUGUGCCAAAACUCCCAUGCGUAUUCAUUAAUAAAUCAAUGUAAUGUAAAAAUAAAAUAAAGUAAUGUAAAAAUAAUUUGAUUACAUAAUUAUGCAGAUCAAUACAACAAGAAGUGAUUUAAAAUUGCUCUCCCAUAGGCCUUAAUUUCAGAUUAAUUUUGUAUAUUUUUUAGAAUUUACUGAGCAUAUAAAAAUUACCCCAAAACUUUAUAGAGGCAUGUUGGACAGUUAAUGAAUAAAGAUAAUGUUAUUUUUAUUUUGAUUUCGUGAUGUUUGUAAUGUUUGCCAGCUUUUUUACAUCUGAAAAUUACUAUGAUUUCUUUUCUCAUUCUAGAUAAAUAUUUAUUUUGUGUUCUUUACACCUAGUUAAUUUUGUGUUCAUAAUUUUGUAUUAUUUUUCCUAAAGAGGGCCCCUAAAUUGUAUAAGCUUCAGGCCCCUUGAAGCCUGGAUCCACCCUGCCUGAUUCGGUUACUCCAUCCUGCUGUGGACAUGAGUCCAGUAUCCCUACCCCGCUCACUGCUCCACCCUUCACCAAGAGCUCUAAGCCCACGAGUGUGUGUUGCAGAACCCAGAGCCUGCCACCCAGGACAAGAAGCAGAGCAUCCCAGAGUCUGCCAAUGAAAAGAUUCUCAUUAAUGGGUUCCUGGAAGUUAGGGUUAGGAUAGGAUACCAAGGAAAAUACCUCUCAGAUAAAAGCCAUACAGAGCCAGCUCACAGGAAGAUAGUAAAAGAUUAUUUACACAUUGCACUCCGCUCUACUAUUUCAAGCAACAAUAACUAACCAUGGGGAACUAUCUCUGUGGUGGAGAGCGCUAGUUGUCUGCCAAAAUCUAUCUCUGGUUCUUCCAUAGAUGUAGAUUUCAAGCCAAGCAUAUGGACACUUAUCUAGGGGCUCCACUUCCCGGCCUCUUUGGUGGCUGGCUGUGGCCACAUGACUAAGUUCACCAACGGAACGUGAGCAGGAGAGAUAUGGAUGACUUGUGCCUGGCUUGCUUUUAAAAAGAAAUUACUUCCCUAAACUUUUCCUAUCCCUUCCCUGCUAGCUGGCAAGUGACAAAUCCCACCUUCAAACAUGCAGAUGAGAACAAUGCACUGAGCCAGAAGUUCCCAAACUUUUCCACUCAAAUACCCUUAGUGUCUCAGUAGUUCUAUCAGGUUGCUCCUAGGCCAAAAAGAAAUAACCAAUAGUUCUAUUUGUUAAGUAGUUUUGUCCAAACAACCUAAUAAGUACUUAUUCCCUAACCCUUAGUGUGAAGGGUCUGAUAUUAUAUAGUAUUUGUAAGCAAAUGAGAUAGCCAGUCAGGGUUUCAUGGAUGUUGGCAGAAGACACGAGAUUCCUGGCUCAGAGACGAAGGAAUGCAUUACUCACAACAGUAGCAAUAGUCAGAGUGUCAGCAUUAGCUCUGGUUUGCUGACCUCAAUUCCUAUGGGACUAUGUGAAGAGGGCUAUGUGACAUCUGCACACGGAGUGGGUUGUGUCACAGAAGAGUAACCUGAAUCUCAGGUUACCAAGCUUUGGCACCCUGAAUAUUUUAUAAUGGGUAGUAAGCCUGCCUGAUCUUUGCCCUAGAGGGAAACAUUAUUUGUCUUAGACUAGACAAUAAGCAGAGCUGCUCUUUGUUCCAGAAAGAGCCACUAUCUCUGUCUUCCAAGGCUAUUAGCUAUACAAACAUCCUUGAAAAAAUAGUCUGGAUUAAAGGCAGUCAGUGCCUCUGCUUACAACAUAGGCAAAACCAUGAGAGAUACAUGGAGAAUUGUCUCCCAACGUUUAGUAGCCAUUUGCAAAAAAUAAUACACAUAAAUUGAAAGAAAAAGUAAUACUUUAUUUUAGUUUUAAACAACUGCAAUCACUUGGUAAUGGAAUGCGUGUGCUGGCUGGGCACUGCUCAACUCCUCAAACCUUGGAAUCUGAUUGGACGCAGCCACUCCAUUCCUUGUUCCACAUUGACUUUCUCUUAGUGCUUGCUUUUUAUCACUGCAACCACCAAAACCCGAGCUUCACAAAGAUACGACGUCAUCAAAAGGAAAGUUGUGCUAUCUAAUGUUGAAACUGCGAACUGCCUCAAGCUCGUAGUUUCACGUGGCAUCUGUCAGAUGUGGAGGGCCACUAUGUUUUCCACAAAAAUUGGACACAUCCCGUGGUGCUCCUGUGAGUUCUUUCAGGCUCCCUGGGACAACUUGGUGCAUGGUUUGGGAGCUGCAGCCCUAAGCAAUGGUGGAAGAAGCACUUGAUUCUGAGUGGCCUCAUAGAGGGGCACUGUCUCGAUAGCCUAGAAUAAGUGGAUUGUUAUAUCAGAGAGAAAUAAACUUCUAUCCUCUUUAAGUAAAAUUCAUGGGGUUUUUUGUUGCAGUUGCAUAGCCUUUAUCCUAACUAGUACAAUCUCCUACAUAAUUUUGGCCGGGUCUCACAUUGCAGAUUUGAUGACGUAUGUUCUUACAUUGUGGGAAAAAAAGUAUUUCCUAUGUGUUUCUUUUGUCUUUCCAACCUCAGUCAUCACCUCAAUCAACAUUUAUUGAGACCCUACUAUGCCCUGGCUCUGGGCUAAGCAUCCUUUCAAAACCCAAGUCCACAUCUAUGUUCCUCAGUUGCCUCAGCUGCAGGCUCAGGUCUCGACUCUUGAGCCAAGUCUAAGCAAGACCCUUCCCCAUUUAGCAAGGAAGGUCUGGAAAUCGCACUGAUGCCUUGCUCUCAGGAGUAGCUGCUGUGCCUUGGACUUGGAACUCAAUGAGGAGAACUUGGAUGAGCUGAGCUGAACCAGUCCUUUUUCACCAAUCUGGUUAGGAUUAAGAAACUUCAGACCAAGGCCUAUCUGACACAUCCAGCAAGACACAGAGAACGUAUCCAGAAAGCAGCAUGCAAGCAACAAGACGGAGAGUACUUGUUUUCGCUGCCUAGAGCUGAGCUGGCUUGGAUUGCUGCUGGGGUAGUGAGCUCUGUGUGUAUCUGUGUAAAAAGGAACAAGAGGGAUAGCAGGUUCUGACCUCUCAGUGACUGAAGGGAGAAAAGAGAAGAGGGAUGGCUGAGCUGGCCCGGGUAGCUUGGGAGGAGCAGGCCCUACGUCCACUUACUACCUCUACAACACGAAUGAGACACAGAGAGAGCAAGGCAUGGGCCCUCACACCCUCCAGUUCUGCAGCAUGGAGAGAGAGGAGAGAGCUAAGAGAGCUCCAGUCCUCCCACACCCAAAAUGAGUGAUAUUUUAAUGCACAUUGAUCACUAGUAAACUUGACCCAAUAAGAGUCCUAGAAUUUUAACAAUCCAUGUCAACUUUUCUUCUUCUUUUUUUUUUUCCUGAGGAGGACUGGCC